AAGUCGUAACAAGGUCUCCGUUGGUGAACCAGCGGAGGGAUCAUUAUAGAGUUUUCUAAACUCCCAACCCAUGUGAACUUACCUUUUGUUGCCUCGGCAGAAGUUAUAGGUCUUCUUAUAGCUGCUGCCGGUGGACCAUUAAACUCUUGUUAUUUUAUGUAAUCUGAGCGUCUUAUUUUAAUAAGUCAAAACUUUCAACAACGGAUCUCUUGGCUCUC
This 218-nucleotide unclassified non-coding RNA is filed under the name fungal sp. RNAcentral describes it as "partial internal transcribed spacer region". The stretch from base 1 to 46 matches the Rfam family "Eukaryotic small subunit ribosomal RNA", at positions 1786 to 1831 of the family's 1831-position model. Lineage: Eukaryota; Fungi. The record is from RNAcentral.